CCCAACAUAGUGUUACUCUCCCUCCCAAAUGUGCCAUUUGGCUUCUUGGCUGGUGGGGAGGGAAACGCUGGGACGAGCAGAGUUAACACUCUAGUGAAUUAAAAAUAGAAAAAGAGAAAAGAAACGCCUGAUUUUGCAAUCUAAUCAAUGCAUGGAAGAAGAGAAUUCCAAGAAGAGACCGCUGGACCUUGACUGGGACGUGAUAUUGGACUCAAAAGACGACGAACAACAGCAGAUACUGAUCGUUAAAGGGCCUACGCAACUGCCAAAACCCUCGCCAAUGAGCACCGAUCACUCGCCUAGGGAGGAUUGUGCUUCCAUGACCGAUCGCGAGCUUGAGGACGGUAUUAAGAGGCAGAAGCUCAAUAUUGCAAAUUUAAGCCCAAUUUUGCCUGACAAAGGUGAGAAACUUCGGGCGUUGCUUAAAACCUUAGAGGAUGAAUACCAACGGAGAAAGCUUCGACGCCCUGAAAUGGAUGUUGAUGUAUUUGAGAAGCCUGCUCAGUUAACAAGUUCAGGUAUAACUGAUGGCUUUAAACAAAAGAAUGGAUCAUCUGAAGUACAUUCACAAUCUGAAGUUGCCAUUAUUUUUAGUAGAAAGACGAAAGAAAAUACAGAUUGCAAGAUAGUCAAAGCAUUUGAUGAUGAAGAAUUGUCAACUUUGAGUCGAUGCAACAGCCAGAAAACGAGAACUGAUGGAGCCUUAUCACAAAGUUGGAGAAAAAAAGGUCAUUCAUCAUCAAAAAAAUUGCCUUUUCAAUACGAUAACAGCCCUUCACAUAAUGGACAUAAACAUGUUACAUAUAACGGUGAUCGAAAGGACAGAGCUUCUUCUACUUCUUCCUUCAGCCACACUGGGGAAAGCUUUUCCAGCAAUUUUUCCAAGAAGAAGGAUACUUGUCAAGUCCUACCUUCAAAUGGCUCAGGGCCUAGGAAAGUAUGUCUUUUAAUUUUCUCCCCCUUCUGAUUUGUAUUCUUUUGCUUGCACUUCAUCUACUUUGAAACUAGUUAUAUGGUUUUGUUUGAGAAAGGAGGUUUUGCUCUUGAAAGGUUAUGGAAGCAUGGGAGAGAAGGAUAGUUUGACAUGUUCAUCUUAAGCCUACCUUCUAUAUUAGCUUCAGAAUGAUGUGUGCUGCGCAUUGCAAUGUAAUUUUUGCCUGUAAGAAAGUCUUGUUUGGACUGAUAAUUAGGUUUUUUCCUUUUUGUCCCCUUCCCAUAUUUUUUUGUUCUUUAAUUCAGUUUACUUUAAAGUUUUAGUUGUGUUAGUAGUAACUGAUGGACUGAUCUCCCUUGGUAGAUAAAGUGAUUGGAUGAACUGUUUUUAGAAUUUCCUAGAGAUCUGUGAUUAUUGCCCAUCUAAUAGCUCUUGCACUGGUAGACUUAAUUAUCAGAUUAUUGAUCUUUUUCUUUGUAAUCUUUUUAUACACAUUAGCUAAGAGGCAAGACUUGAUUGACUGCCAUUUCCAUGAAUUUGCGUUAAAUGGAAGUUUCUUAUUCAUCUUUCUCUUUGUAAUCCUUUAAUUCAUCUUUGUGCUUGCCAUGACUUGGGUUAAUGUAGCCAAAAGUUUGUUUGUCACUGUAAUCCUGCAAUCAGAAUUUUAUUCCCACCAUAUAUUGGGUUUUUAUCUCUAGUUGUUGAUAGAUCCAUGAUGGCAUUAUUCAAGCAGGGGAAGACAGUUGUUCUUGUAGAUGAGGAUGAAACCCAACUUGUAGAGACAAUAGAGCCUGAAAACAAACAUGCUGAAUGCAUGAAGGAUGCUAAGAUCUACUACCCAUCAAGGGAUGAUCAAGAAUCUGUAGAAAUUUGUUACUCGGAUAUAAACUGCCUAGCCCCUGAAGGUUUUUUGACGUCACCGAUCAUGAACUUUUACAUCAGGUGAGUGGAUUUGGGUACAGUUUAUAUCUACCGUUUGAGCAGUGAUGUUCAUGGGUGUAGAUCUCAGGAUUUGUUUGGUAGGUUAUAAUGGAUUCUAAUGUAAUUAAGUGAAAUGUAUUGGUCAUUCUCUACCUAUAUUUGAUUGCAAAAACAAAAUGGAUGUAAUUUAAUUUAUAUACCUAUAUUUAUUUUAUGUGAUAGUGGCAGCAUUUGUGAGGUGAUGGUGGUGGUAGAAGUAAAAAUAAGUGAAGUAAUCAUGAUUACAUAAGUUUUUAGUUGUAAAGGACAUUACAUUAGUUAAAAUAAUAAUGAAUGCAUAAUGUGAAUUACAUUAAUUUUUUUUUUUGGGUCUAACUAAUAAAGAAAUGGGAUUUGUAACGUAAUUGUGAUUGUAUUAGUCUUGCCAAACAUAACCUUAUUGUCUUUCUUAUAUGCAUAAACAUAAGGGGACCGUGAAAAUUUAUGAAUGAUAGUUCUACAGAGUUCCAAAAAAGAGCGUAUUUGGUAAUUAUUGAACUGCAGCAGGCUGAUAUGUGAGGCUCAUUUUCUGACCAUGUGGAGGGCAGGGAAGAGGGUGCCCAUUUAUAGGAAGGAUUUUUUUUUUGUCCUUUCCAUUAUCACUUGUAUUCACAGGUCAUAGUUGUUUUAGUUUAGGAACAAGAUGGAAUCCAUAAGCAGGAGAAACAUUUAUAAGCAAUAUCCUGGGACAAUUUGUGGACACUGCGGUCAAGCUGGCUUGUGAACCAGUAAGCUGAAUAUUGUAGGUGCUUGAGUUUAUCUCUUGUUUUUUUAGCUCCAAUUUUCUUCUCAGGUUUUAAGCUAAGCAGGCUUCAUCUUAUUGUAAGGGGGAAUAAUUGCAUUUGCUUUUCUUUGUUAUCUUUGAAAAUUUCAUUUUUUCCAUGUGCUGCUUGUGUCUUCUGUGUGCUUGUUUAAAAAGUCCUAUUGCUUCUAUGUUCCAUGUGGAUAUUUAAGGAUGGUGUGUUUGAAAUUGGCUGCAUUUAGUGACGUCUUGGUGUGUGUGUCCAGGUAUUUACGGCUGCAAAUCUCCCCAACAAACAAGGCUAUAUGUGAUUAUCACUUUUUCAAUACAUUCUUCUACAAGAAGCUCAAACAGGCUGUAUCUUACAAGGGGAGUGACAAAGAAUCCUUUUUUGUCAAGUUCAGAAGGUGGUGGAAGGGUGUCAAUAUAUUUCAGAAGGCAUAUGUCUUUAUUCCCAUACACGAAGAUCUUCAUUGGAGCUUGGUGAUUAUUUGUAUCCCAGACAAGGAAGAUGACUUGGGACCAAUUAUACUUCAUUUGGAUUCUUUGGGACUUCACUCUAGUAAAUCAGUCUUUGAAGACAUUAGAAGGUGAGGCAAAGGCCUUCCUAGGCCACUAAGACAUGUUUCAAUAUUAACUUUCUGUAAAAGAGAUGUACAAGUUUGUAACUUAUUCUGCUUAUGCCUUUUAUUCGGUUGUAGCAGCAAUGAUAGUUUUAUGGCUAUGUUAAGAAUCCUGUGGAAUGUUUGUUAACAUGAGGUAUCAUUUACAUUUUCUGUUUUAUUUAAAUGCAUGAAGUCAGAAUUGGAGUUGCUUUUCUUUCAGAUCUUCAAAGGGUUAGUGUGUGGGAAGCAUUGUGAACUAUCAUGAUAAGACACUUAAUUUGUUGCAUGUCUUAUAGUUAGCCCUUGGUUAUAAUGCUCCUUCUUAAUGUGAAUCCUUUUCUAAUUAUAUCAUUUGUGUGCUGCAGUUAUUUGAGAGAAGAAUGGAACUACAUGAAACAAGAAGUUUCUCCGCCAGAUCUUCCAAUUGCAGACCGAAUAUGGAAACAUCUCCCUCGUAGAAUUGAUGUGAAAAAAAUUGAGGUUCCUCAACAGAAAAAUGACUAUGAUUGUGGUCCCUUUGUACUGUUCUUCAUGGAACGGUUUAUUGAAGAGGCUCCUGAGAGACUGAAAAAGAAAGAUUUAGCAAUGGUAUUUCCUGCCACCCCUAGGCUUGAUGAGUUUCUUCUAUGUGACAUAAUUCCAUACAAUCUCUUCUAUUACUUUGUUAACACAUCUUUAUUUCCAGUUUGGCAAGCAAUGGUUCAGACCUGAACAGGCCUCGGGUUUGAGAGUGAAAAUCAGAAAAUUACUUUUCAAUGAAUUUCAAAAUGCAAAUGAGAGUGGCAAAAUUUCAGUAUCUUCUCCUUUGCCUUCAGAUGGUGCUUCACCCUGAAUUUGAUCCAGCUGCUACUCUACUAGUUCUCUAAUGAGUUGAGUGUACAUCUACGUAUAUCUCGCAUUUGAAUACAAAUUAGACUGUUAAAGAAUGGUGAAAUGAAACUCGUAUAGCCUCGGAAAUUGGUUCAGAUGCUAUUGGCGCCACGGAAAAAGUGGAUUCACAAUUGUCUGGACAUGGAAAUAAGUUUCAGUUAUUUCCCUACUGACCAAUUCUGGUAAGAAGUCCAAUUUAAUUCCUUGUCCAAAAUCCAAAUGUACAGGAGGGAAUUGCAUUACUGCUGAUUACUAAUGAUCGUGGUAGCGAAGACAUUAUCCAUCAGAUAGGCUGUAUUCUGUAAGUAGUUUCAUCAAGAUACACUGGUCUAAAAUGCAAGCAGAAAAGGACAAUUGAUAAUCGUUACACUGAGCUCCAUGGAAAUGCUUAGUGUCUUGUGAUUUGAUGUCCACAGCU
This 4529-nucleotide unclassified non-coding RNA is filed under the name Hevea brasiliensis (rubber tree). The record is from RNAcentral. Lineage: Eukaryota; Viridiplantae; Streptophyta; Magnoliopsida; Malpighiales; Euphorbiaceae.